Molecule: long non-coding RNA, 1759 nt
Filed under: Chrysemys picta bellii (western painted turtle)
Lineage: Eukaryota; Metazoa; Chordata; Testudines; Emydidae
Description: lncRNA (ENSCPBG00000004338.1)
Source: RNAcentral
AGUGUGUGUGAGCAGGGUGCCCACUGCAUGCAGGGUCCAUUAAGGCUUGGUUGGUGGGGCAAUAUGGGGGGGGGGGCGAGACAAAGAUCCCCCCCCGCAUGGGCUGUGUAGGGCCCCCAACAGCUCGAUUUGCUCUCAGGGCAGCACCGGGCAUUUGCAUAGCGAGAACCGUGCCCAUGGGGGAUGCCCCCACCAGGGCACAUGGGGGGGGAUUGGGGUAGCAUCAGUACCGGGGAGGGGCACUGCCAUGGCCCUGCUUUGAUGACAUCAUCACACGGACAGGGCUGGUCUGAUGACAUCACAAACACGCGGGAGGAGGGAUGGGGGUGGAGCUUGAUGCCAUCACCACAGUGCGCUAGGCACCUCGAUGACAUCACACAAGCAGCCAUGGGUCGAUGACAUCAUCAUGCCAGCACAGUGGUGGGGGGUGAGCUCCCCAGGCCGGGCCACGCCCUUACAGCGCCACUGGCUGCCUGUUGAUGACCUCACCGCCCACCUGAUGAUGCAACAGCUGCUGCUUAGUGACAUCAGCGAGCCAGGCCCCAGUUUGGCUCUGGCCCGCUGGUUGCCAUGGCGACGUAUAACCAGGGAGUGGCCAGGGGGCACUGAAAUUCCCCCCCCCAUCCCUGGAAUCCGGGGACACGUUAACCCUUCCCUGACGGGGCCAUGGCAAGGACCUGGGGAGCGGGGGCGGGGGGGGGCAAUCACAGUAUUAACCCUUCAGUGUACGUGGUAUUCUUGCGCGUAUAUAUUAUAUAUAUAUAUAUGUAUAGAUACUUUACACAGGACAUGCCAUUCACUGGGGGCAUUACAAUGGGGCGCUGCCUCCACUCCCCCGUGUCCAUGGAGCUUAGAAACCAGGCCGGGGGGGAGGCUUCCUCCUGGCUCCGUGCCCCGCACCCCACUGAUGGAAGCAGCUGUGACUAGAGGCGGGGGGGGGGCGCUUUGUGUAACCCCAUGCCGCCCUCUGCACAAAAACAGACCAGAUUCCUUUUGGGGGGACGGCCGAGGGGAUCCCGACCGUGUCUCCCAACAUUCAGGGGCGUCCCCCUGUUUCCCUGCGGCGUGUACACUGCGGGGGGGGCACCCUGCCCCCCCCACACUCCCCUCUUCUCAGUGCCCCGCCGCAUUUUUCUCCACAACGGCAGGGGGCAGGACUUGGGGGGCAGGGCCCCUCCCCGCUGGCAGGAUCACUCCCAGCGUCUUCGCCUCAGCCAAGCCCUUCCGGGGGGGGGCCAGCCCAUUUUUGGCACCCAAGCAGGGGCCUUUGGGGGAGGAGGGCUUGGUUCGGGGCCCCAGGGUGGUGUGCUCUUCCACCACCUCCAGGAUCAACUUCUCCUUCGGGGAGCCAGCCUGGUUCUGGGGGCCCUUGGGGGGCUGCCGGCCCUGGCCCCCCUCAACGUUCCUCUCCCACAGCCCCUGCCUGUCGGCGAUCUCUUGGGGCUCCACCACCAGGGGCACGGGCCCGCGCGGCGCCCCCUCUGCCUCGCCCCUCCUGCCCUGCUCAUAUUCCUGCACCGGGCUCAAGGCUUUGGCCGGCGGCCGGGCGGGAGUGGCAAAGGCUUCUUCGGUCUGAACCCCCUGGUGCCUCCUGACGCCCCCCGCCGGGUCGCGGGGGCUGCCGGCCGCCUCGGCACAGGCUGGGCCUUCCUUGGCGCUUGUCUGGCUCCCGCCGGCUGGGCCCGCCGCCUCCCCGGCUCCGAAGCUGAGGGCCGACUCCUGCCGGCCCAGCCGCCGGGCGGCCACUUGCCUGCCGGCC